GACGAACGCUGGCGGCACGCCUAACACAUGCAAGUCGAACGGAGAAUGCUUAGCUUGCUUUGCAUUCUUAGUGGCGGACGGGUGAGUAACACGUGAGCAACCUGCCUCUGAGAGAGGGAUAGCUUCUGGAAACGGAUGGUAAAACCUCAUAACAUAGAUGAGCCGCAUGACUUAUCUAUCAAAGAUUUAUCACUCAGAGAUGGGCUCGCGUCUGAUUAGGUAGUUGGUGAGGUAACGGCUCACCAAGCCGACGAUCAGUAGCCGGACUGAGAGGUUGAACGGCCACAUUGGGACUGAGACACGGCCCAGACUCC
This 314-nucleotide ribosomal RNA is filed under the name uncultured Ruminococcus sp. RNAcentral's name for it is "bacterial SSU rRNA". It matches the Rfam family "Bacterial small subunit ribosomal RNA", at positions 28 to 339 of the family's 1533-position model. The record is from RNAcentral. Lineage: Bacteria; Bacillati; Bacillota; Clostridia; Eubacteriales; Oscillospiraceae.